Molecule: unclassified non-coding RNA, 345 nt
Filed under: soil metagenome
Description: partial contains 5.8S ribosomal RNA, internal transcribed spacer 2, and large subunit ribosomal RNA
Rfam family: 5.8S ribosomal RNA (bases 1-120)
Source: RNAcentral
GAUGAAGAACGCAGCGAAAUGCGACAAGUAAUGUGAAUUGCAGAAUUCCGUGAAUCAUCGAAUCUUUGAACGCACAUUGCGCCCUCUGGUAUUCCGGGGGGCAUGCCUGUCCGAGCGUCAUUGCUGCCCUCAAGCACGGCUUGUGUGUUGGGCCUCCGUCCUCCUCCCGGGGGACGGGCCCGAAAGGCAGCGGCGGCACCGCGUCCGGUCCUCGAGCGUAUGGGGCUUCGUCACCCGCUCUUGUAGGCCCGGCCGGCGCUUGCCGACACAUCAAUCUUUUUUCCAGGUUGACCUCGGAUCAGGUAGGGAUACCCGCUGAACUUAAGCAUAUCAAUAAGCGGAGGA